GACGGAGGGGGCUAGCGUUGUUCGGAAUUACUGGGCGUAAAGAGUGCGUAGGUGGUUUAGUAAGUUGGAAGUGAAAGCCCGGGGCUUAACCUCGGAAUAGCUUUCAAAACUACUAAUCUAGAGUGUAGUAGGGGAUGAUGGAAUCCCUAGUGUAGAGGUGAAAUUCUUAGAUAUUAGGAGGAACACCGGUGGCGAAGGCGGUCAUCUGGGCUACAACUGACACUGAUGCACGAAAGCGUGGGGAGCAAACAGG
RNAcentral lists this ribosomal RNA (253 nucleotides) under uncultured bacterium. RNAcentral describes it as "partial 16S ribosomal RNA". It matches the Rfam family "Bacterial small subunit ribosomal RNA", at positions 524 to 776 of the family's 1533-position model. The record is from RNAcentral.